ACGGGAGGCAGCAGUCGGGAAUAUUGCACAAUGGAGGAAACUCUGAUGCAGUGACGCCGCGUAUAGGAAGAAGGUUUUCGGAUUGUAAACUAUUUUAGACAGGGAAGAUAAAAGACGGUACCUGUAGAAUAAGCCCCGGCUAACUAUGUGCCAGCAGCCGCGGUAAUACAUAGGGGGCAAGCGUUAUCCGGAAUUAUUGGGCGUAAAGGGUGCGUAGACGGGAAUUUAAGUUAGUUGUGAAAUCCCUCGGCUCAACUGAGGAACCGCAACUAAAACUGGAUUUCUUGAGUGCAGGAGAGGAAAGCGGAAUUCCUAGUGUAGCGGUGAAAUGCGUAGAUAUUAGGAGGAACACCAGUGGCGAAGGCGGCUUUCUGGACUGUAACUGACGUUGAGGCACGAAAGUGUGGGGAGCAAACAGGAUUAGAUACCCUGGUA
This 435-nucleotide ribosomal RNA is filed under the name uncultured Oscillospiraceae bacterium. RNAcentral's name for it is "partial 16S ribosomal RNA". It matches the Rfam family "Bacterial small subunit ribosomal RNA", at positions 341 to 792 of the family's 1533-position model. Lineage: Bacteria; Bacillati; Bacillota; Clostridia; Eubacteriales; Oscillospiraceae. The record is from RNAcentral.